GGCAUAUGGAAGAAAACAUAUCCUGGAUAUAAUGGAUCAGCGAGAUGGAAAGAGCUGGGUUUCUGGGUGACUUUGUGCAGUGGAGCCCCCUGCUUGUGUCAGACCAUCUGCCUCCUUCUGGAUUCUUAGGUACCAUCCAAGCCCUAGGGAAAUAAGAUGCAGCACCAAGGUACCAAGGAAAAGGGUAGAAGCACUCCGAGUUGACCUGAGAUGAACUUUUCACCACUCUUGAAGAAUGAGGACUUGAACUAGUGAUCACUUUCAGUUCUAGAAAAAUAAGGUGGCCGGGUGAGGUGGCUCAUGCCUGUACUCCCAGUGCUUUGGGAGGCCGAGGUGGGCGGAUCACGAGAUCAGGAGUUUGAGACUAGCCCGGCCAACAUGGUGAAACCUCGUCUCUACUAAAAAUACAAAAAAUUAGCUGGGCAAGGUGGUGGGCACCUGUAAUCCCAGCUGCUCAGGAGGCUGAGGCAGGAGAAUUGCUUGAACCCGGGAGGCAGAGGUUGCAGUGAGCCGAGAUCACGCCAUUGCACUCCAGCCUGGGCGACAGUGCGAGGCUCUCAAAACAAACAAACAAAAAAAAAUGCACAAAAAACAAAAAUAAGAUUACAUCUCUUAAGUCUCUAAAUUGGGAACUGAAAUUCACACCUGCAACAUCUUUAAUGAUCCAAUGGAAAGAAGUCCAAACUCCUUGACCAGGGUUUGACAAAUUAUGGCCCACGGGCCAAAUUUGGUUGGCUGCCUGUUUUUGUUAUUAAAGAGUUUUUGGAAUACUG
Molecule: long non-coding RNA, 773 nt
Filed under: Homo sapiens (human)
Lineage: Eukaryota; Metazoa; Chordata; Mammalia; Primates; Hominidae
Description: non-protein coding lnc-CACNA1A-1:2
Source: RNAcentral